Epinephelus lanceolatus (giant grouper) is the source of this 432-nucleotide non-coding RNA. The record is from RefSeq and is a predicted model, not a curated record. NCBI's taxonomy places the organism in Eukaryota, Metazoa, Chordata, Actinopteri, Perciformes, Serranidae.
GGAGACGUCUGCGUCAAAGUCCCGAGGUGCGUCCUUCAGCGGCCAAACUUGUCCAGCAGAUUGGGAGACGCUCAAAAACUCCCCGCAAUAAUAUUAAUAACACGAUUAAAAAAAUAAUGGACGGGAGAGGUGAUGCAAAAUGCUGCUGACUGGGAGGCUCACACAUGCCCGACGGCCUGUUUGGAGAAUGACCAGUUGAUUGGAAACACACCAAAAUGUGCCUCUAAACCCCGAAUAAUCCCAGGACACGAUUUUUUUCUUAACCCUUAAUGAAUUUACAAACAUCAGUCUGUACAGUUAGACCGCACUGUGUACUUAGCAGCACCAACAACUAAAGCCCGGAAGUUGCAGAAGGCCAGACAGAUUUUCUACAAGUUUCAGGUAACAAAACGAAAACAGGAAAUAAAAUCGAGCGACAAGAGAACGAAAAAA